This 1088-nucleotide long non-coding RNA is filed under the name Venturia canescens. Its description in RNAcentral is "uncharacterized LOC122413530, transcript variant X3". The record is from RNAcentral. Lineage: Eukaryota; Metazoa; Arthropoda; Insecta; Hymenoptera; Ichneumonidae.
UCGCGUUACAUUGGUCGAAUUCCAUGAAACCGAAACCGAUUCCAAUUAUUCUCGAUUGCGCGCAUUACAUUUUUUUCUUUUUCGAAUCUUCAUCGGUGUUUACAAACAAAAAUCACUGUUUGACACGACAACCCGCCAGUGUUCUUGAUUCCAUUGGAGAAUUAUUGGCCCACGUGAUUUCUAUGGAUCGAUCAUAAAAAUUCAAUCCAUAAGAUGAUUGUGGAGAUGAACUAACAGCCGAACAAAUCGUAUUAUUAUUUUCAUUGAUUUUUUAAUAAGAAUAUGAUGAGUGAUGAACCCAAUGUCAUCACGAAAAAUACGAUGGCUGAGUUGGAGCAGUUUUUUUCAGAAGUAAUCAAUUUCUGCCUGGCAAAUUAACAAACCAAUUUAGAAGCGUCCCUACCCUAGUAGCACUGAUGUCCGAAAGCCAACUAUAAGGAUUAUGGCAAGGUCUUUGGAGUAUUCGCAUGGGGCUUAUUGAUCUAGGCGAGAUUUCCUGGUUACCACAAACGUUUUGCAGUCAGUGGCUUCCACAACCAAUGUGACCAAUGUCUGAAGAGCAUAUUUCAGAGGAUCAGAUCUUCAGGCAACAAUCAGACAACAGAUCAACAGUGAUGGAUAGCAAGGAUGGGGCAUGAUAACCGACGAGGACGAGGAACACAAUGAUACGACGUUUAGCAGCACGAUCAUUGGAAUCAACAAACAUGAGGAUGCAACAGAGGAACAGUAGCAAAGCUCGCAUACUCGAGCUUCACGUUGCAGCACACGCCCGAAUUUUCAGACAACUCAAUGAUCUCGUCGAAUUGAAUGGUUCGAACGACAUCCGCAGGGACAGCGAGCCCCCAGGGACAGAAAAAGCGGUACCGAUAGCAGCCAACAAACGAAGAUUGCACGAAGAAAACAACAACGUUUGGUUGUACGUAAAAUUGUUUAAAAUCUAUUUGCAUACAUUCCAAUUGGCAUUUCAAUAUUACGUGAUCUGUUACGCGAAUUUUAUAUCGUUUUUGAAUUUUUUAUGUACAAAGAAUUCUGUUUUACUAUAACAUUUUGUUAUAAAACGAUUUGUGGUAAAAUUUUUAAUUUUUUAA